Molecule: ribosomal RNA, 553 nt
Filed under: uncultured bacterium
Lineage: Bacteria
Description: partial 16S ribosomal RNA
Rfam family: Bacterial small subunit ribosomal RNA
Source: RNAcentral
UAGGGAAUCUUCGGCAAUGGGGGCAACCCUGACCGAGCAACGCCGCGUGAGUGAAGAAGGUUUUCGGAUCGUAAAGCUCUGUUGUAAGUCAAGAACGGGUGUGAGAGUGGAAAGUUCACACUGUGACGGUAGCUUACCAGAAAGGGACGGCUAACUACGUGCCAGCAGCCGCGGUAAUACGUAGGUCCCGAGCGUUGUCCGGAUUUAUUGGGCGUAAAGCGAGCGCAGGCGGUUUGAUAAGUCUGAAGUUAAAGGCUGUGGCUCAACCAUAGUUCGCUUUGGAAACUGUCAAACUUGAGUGCAGAAGGGGAGAGUGGAAUUCCAUGUGUAGCGGUGAAAUGCGUAGAUAUAUGGAGGAACACCGGUGGCGAAAGCGGCUCUCUGGUCUGUAACUGACGCUGAGGCUCGAAAGCGUGGGGAGCGAACAGGAUUAGAUACCCUGGUAGUCCACGCCGUAAACGAUGAGUGCUAGGUGUUGGAUCCUUUCCGGGAUUCAGUGCCGCAGCUAACGCAUUAAGCACUCCGCCUGGGGAGUACGGCGCAAGGUUGAAAC